RNAcentral lists this ribosomal RNA (460 nucleotides) under uncultured bacterium. Its description in RNAcentral is "partial 16S ribosomal RNA". It matches the Rfam family "Bacterial small subunit ribosomal RNA", at positions 338 to 795 of the family's 1533-position model. The record is from RNAcentral.
CCUACGGGUGGCAGCAGUGAGGAAUAUUGGUCAAUGGGCGCUAGCCUGAACCAGCCAAGUCGCGUGAAGGAUGACUGCCCUAUGGGUUGUAAACCUCUUUUAUAUGGGAAUAAAGUGCAGGAUUUAUACUGCUUUGCAUGUACCUUAUGAAUAAGGAUCGGCUAACUCCGUGCCAGCAACCGCGGUAAUACGGAGGAUCCGAGCGUUAUCCGGAUUUAUUGGGUUUAAAGGGAGCGUAGAUGGGUUGUUAAGUCAGUUGUGAAAGUUUGCGGCUCAACCGUAAAAUUGCAAUUGAUACUGGCAGUCUUGAGUACAGUUGAGGUACGCGGAAUGCGUGGUGUAGCGGUGAAAUGCUUAGAUAUCGCGAAGAACCCCGAUUGCGAAGGCAGCUUACUAAACUGAGACUGACAUUGAUGCACGAAAGUGUGGGUAUCAAACAGGAUUAGAUACCCGGGUAGUC